RNAcentral lists this ribosomal RNA (784 nucleotides) under uncultured bacterium. RNAcentral's name for it is "bacterial SSU rRNA". It matches the Rfam family "Bacterial small subunit ribosomal RNA", at positions 67 to 862 of the family's 1533-position model. The record is from RNAcentral.
UUAACCGAAGUAUUUAUAUUUUGGAGCGGUUAGUGGCGGACUGGUGAGUAACACGUAAGCAACCUGCCUAUUAGAGGGGAAUAACAGUGAGAAAUCAUUGCUAAUACCGCAUAUGCUGUGAGUAUCGCAUGAUACAAACAGGAAAGGAGCAAUCCGCUAAUAGAUGGGCUUGCGUCUGAUUAGAUAGUUGGUGGGGUAACGGCCUACCAAGUCAACGAUCAGUAGCCGAACUGAGAGGUUGAACGGCCACAUUGGGACUGAGAUACGGCCCAGACUCCUACGGGAGGCAGCAGUCGGGAAUAUUGCACAAUGGAGGAAACUCUGAUGCAGUGACGCCGCGUGCAGGAAGAAGGUUUUCGGAUUGUAAACUGCUUUAGACAGGGAAGAAACAAGACAGUACCUGUAGAAUAAGCUCCGGCUAACUACGUGCUAGCAGCCGCGGUAAUACGUAGGGAGCAAGCGUUAUCCGGAUUUAUUGGGUGUAAAGGGUGCGUAGACGGGAAUUUAAGUUAGUUGUGAAAUCCCUCGGCUUAACUGAGGAACUGCAACUAAAACUGAAUUUCUUGAGUGCGGGAGAGGAAAGUGGAAUUCCUAGUGUAGCGGUGAAAUGCGUAGAUAUUAGGAGGAACACCAGUGGCGAAGGCGACUUUCUGGACCGUAACUGACGUUGAGGCACGAAAGUGUGGGGAGCAAACAGGAUUAGAUACCCUGGUAGUCCACACUGUNAACGAUGGAUACUAGGUGUAGGGAAUANUAAGUUUUCUGUGCCGUCGCAAACGCAAUA